UGCACUGCGUAGAUAUGGCAGAUUCGCUGGCAUGCGUGUCCUGGAAUGUUGCAUUUGGAGACAACAAAAAGGAGAAGUUUCAAGUUUGACAUAGGAUGACACAGACAAUGCAAGAGGAAGCGGAAAGCCAAGGAGACAGAGGGAACUCUCAAAACGUAAGUUCCACCCCCACUAGGGAGACUGAGCAGAAGGCUUGGUUUUCAGUUUCCACGGGCCCAUUAAUUAGAGAGUUGAAGGCAAUUGCACCUACAUCUCAAGGGACAGGUCAACCCCAGAUGACUCCCAGUUACAUAAGAACUAGAAAAAGUCACUGAGUUCAUGUCAACAAAAACCAAACCCAUUGCUGUCGAGUCAACUCUGACUCAUAGCAACCCUAUAAGACAGAGUAGAACUGCCCCAUAGACUUCAUGUCAAGGAGCAAAUAUUUCAGCCCUUCAGAAUCGCCAGCUGGCUGAGGACGCUGCCUAACUGAGAAGAAGCUAUCACUUGAUGCUACAGCAACACCUUCCACAGCGUCCAGAGCAAGCUAGGCUGGGCGCCACUGUAGGUCAAAAGCUGAGCAUGUCCUUCAGAUGCAGCAACUCUGCAAGCCCCCAGGCUGGCAUUCAUUUACAGAAGAAACCAGAAAAGCCACAUCUGACCCAUCACAGGGCCUCCCUAAGUAAAUACAUAAGUAAGUAAAUAAAUAAAAGUUCUAAAGCUAUUUUUUAACCAGAUUCACUCCAUAAUCAAUAUUUCGUUUCUAUUGUUUGAAGAAUAGAGAUUCUGACUGAAAGAAUGCUAGAUUCUGUUUGGUUCUGGUCAUCAUUCUUCACUAAUAUCCAGGCAAUAAUCUGAAGUUCUGCCAUUAGUACAAAAUUAUUGUUAUUAUUCUAUUUGUUCAGGAACUUAAUGGAUUCUAUUUAAUACUUUUCUUUCAAAAUUCAAGUAUGUGUGUGUGUUUUAAGCAUUUCCAUUUCUCUUCACAAUUGCAAGGCUAGGCUGAAUGAUUAUUCCUUUCCCCUUUUAUGGCCAAUUCUCCUUUUCAUUUCUACAUUACCUAUUUGACCUGUUUGCUGACCUAGCAUAAAAUCAACUUCAUUCUGUCCUGGGUAAUUGACUGCUCCUUUAUGGAUCCAAACAGAAGGGCUUGUCAUCAGACUCUUAGGUUUGGAAAGGAUAAUUCUAUUACCUGAAGAAAAGCUCAUUUUAAGAAACGGAACUAUAACUAUAUAAACUUCUUUAACUUAUUAGAAAAAAAUCUCAGGAGAAAUGUAUUAGCAAUUGGAUCUUGUUAUCCGAAGUCCAAUUUUAUUCUGCUCUCAUUGUGUUGACCCCAAGGAGGAUCAGAGCACAGCGCAAAGCCCACAUUGGCCAGCACGUGUUACAUUUGUUCUCCUAGCACUCUGGGGCCCGGACUACACGGUGGUCUCAGAGAAGGAACCAAACCAAACCAAACCGCUGGCCGUUGAGUCAAUUCUGACUCGAGGGACUGAAAUAAUAGACACGCCCAAUUGCCGGAUUAUGGGGAUAUUAGGUUCUUAGUUGAAUCUGUUCCAAAUCAUAAUGUGGUAAAGUUGUUUGCUUUUCUACAUUCUUAGCCAUUGAGAGUAUUUGGCAAUAGGAAAACUCUUGCUUCUUAGCUCCCUCUGCUGGCCUUUCAGAAAACCGUUUGUCCCCAGAUCCUGAGUUGCGUAUACAAAAAGGGCCAUCUUCCUGCCAAACAUGAGCUGAUGGGGAAGUUAAGUCCACAUCAACUGGAGAAAGCAAGUUAGCUCCCCAAGGAACCCAGUGCUCCAAAAGAUGAAAGUGGAAGAAAGGUCUUCGCUAUGGCAUACCCAAAUUAAAACGCAAUUCCUCAGCCCAUCCCACAAAGAAGUGAGACCGAAGUGAGACCCAGGCAUGUUUAUUUUGAAAAAUAAUCCCAGAUCAUUCUGCUGGAUCUCCUAAUUAGGAACCACAGAUCCAGAAGUUCUGUUUAAUGUUUAAUGCAAAUUCCAGUUGCUGCAAUUUAAACUUACAAGAUAUCGCUUUCGCAGGCUAGUGGGGAGGAAUAAAGAAUGACUAAUCGUUAACCUAUGAGUUGUAAUUGACUCGACGGCAACAGGUUUGGGUUUUUUUGGUUUUAAUCAUUAACCUGGCUCAGUAUGGAUGGUGCCUGUAUUCUUGUUUCCUGAGGUUAAAAAACCUAAUUCUAUUGUCAUUUCACCUAUUGUCCUAAAAGAUUCUCAGGAGCCAAUAAUAGCAAUUCAGAGGAAUUCAGUGUGCCUCAGUUUCGGAAGGCUUUGCUCUUUCUCAUCUUCAGUUGUCUCAUUUCUACUCCGUACGGGCUUUGUUAGUGUCACGGCGUUCCCUCUGAAGCUGGUAGAGACAGCCAACUCUAAAGCCAUCUGGUAACAGAAGGGUCACAUCUCCAGCCUGCUCGCUGCCAAUCAUUGUAUAUGAUGGCAGGGAAGGCAGGGCAUCAUGCUGAAAGACACCCACAUUUACUGGGCCCCAAAUCCCGAGCUCUUUAGACCAAACCUAUCCCUAAGGAGAUGAAAGGUCUUGGCUUGUCAGCUAAGUGACUGAGAGGUUGGUCAGGACACAAUUUACACGGAAAUUCCAUUUACCAUUAGAGUUGCCCCAAUAAAAAUGGUUUCAAGGCUCUAGGCUAUGUCUAUGACCUUGACCUUACAAAUGUGUCACCUUGGUUACUUCCUAAUAAGGAAAAUAGCUCAAUUUGUCCAAUUAACCAUGGGUUAGUCAAGGCACACACCGGGCAAGAGAAUAAAACAUUUACAUAGUUUGCUUUAUCUAGGAAAAUAUUAAGCAUACAUAAUAUAAUACCUUCUCACAAUGCUUCAUUCUUCAUGAAGCACGUUCAUAUUUAUUUCACAAUUAAGUUUCACAACUCCAAAAAAUAUUGAUUUGUUACAAUAAUUUGUUAUAAUUGAUUUAUUACUAUAUAUACAUACAAUUAUUAAAUCAGAGAAUGUUUUGAAAAAUGAAUUAGCAUCUUUAUGAUAAGAAGCUCCUUGAUUAUUAAAAAUAAUGUUUCUGUUUUUGCAAAUAUAAACCUAAAAUAUCUAUAAGGUCUCAAUUAAUGACAAAACAUGCAAGUACUCACAUUUAAUACCCUGUGAGUAACCUUCUGAAAAAUAUCAAUAACAACACCUUUAAAUAAUCCAGCUUUCAUGAACAGGAGAAGGAAUCCUGAGAUGAAUAUAGGCAAAGCUUUCUGGCUCUUCAGAGACAUGUCUUAUUUAAAAUAAUAAUCAUACAGAUAUAAUAUAGAUUAAUCAUGUACCAGAUCUGGAGACUUGUUUAUAAUGUCACAAUGCUUUGCAGAUCACUUGUGACUCUCCAAGGUGAAGACUGAUACAGAUCUUCAAGCAUCCACUGACAAUGUUACUUAUUUCCUCAUCUGAAUGCUCAAUGGGUAAAGUUAAAUUUCAUUCUCUUAUUCACUUUAUAUUUUGUUCCCAACAGCUAACAGAUGCAAUGCAAAAGAUCAUACAAAGCUGCCAAAUUAAAGUGAAAUGACAUUGAAUAGUAUGGAAGAAUUAAGAAGACUGAUACUCUAGAUCAUUUAUUUUGCCUUUCUUACAACAUAGAGAUAGGGCCAGGAGGCAAAGGGGGCAAGGGUUAAAUCCUCUAAUGUUUAAGGUUUAACUGGAACUUAAUGCUAACUCAGUUUCUAAUCUUUUUCCUAAGUAUUUCAUUAUGGAAUUCAGCAUGACUUCGCCUGGAUUUAUAUUCAUUUACUCAUUUAUUCAGCAAGUCCUAUCGGGCACCUAUUAUGUUCUAGGCACUAUUUUCAGUGCUAGGAAUAUAGCAAUGAACUAAGUCACACAUUCACGAAGCUCACAUUCUUUAGGGGAAGACUGACAGUAAACAAGUAAAUACACAAUAUAAUUCACCUGGCAUUAAGUGGUAAGAA
Trichechus manatus latirostris (Florida manatee) is the source of this 3901-nucleotide long non-coding RNA. RefSeq lists it as uncharacterized. The record is from RefSeq and is a predicted model, not a curated record. Lineage: Eukaryota; Metazoa; Chordata; Mammalia; Sirenia; Trichechidae. The transcript is spliced from 2 exons.